This 445-nucleotide ribosomal RNA is filed under the name uncultured bacterium. Its description in RNAcentral is "partial 16S ribosomal RNA". It matches the Rfam family "Bacterial small subunit ribosomal RNA", at positions 354 to 796 of the family's 1533-position model. The record is from RNAcentral.
GUGAGGAAUAUUGGACAAUGGGCGCAAGCCUGAUCCAGCCAUGCCGCGUGCAGGAAGACGCAUCUAUGGUGUGUAAACUGCUUUUGUACGGGAAGAAACACUCCCUCGUGAGGGAGCUUGACGGUACCGUAAGAAUAAGGAUCGGCUAACUCCGUGCCAGCAGCCGCGGUAAUACGGAGGAUCCAAGCGUUAUCCGGAAUCAUUGGGUUUAAAGGGUCCGUAGGCGGUUUAAUAAGUCAGUGGUGAAAGCCUAUCGCUCAACGAUGGAACGGCCAUUGAUACUGUUAGACUUGAAUUACAAGGAAGUAACUAGAAUAUGUAGUGUAGCGGUGAAAUGCUUAGAUAUUACAUGGAAUACCAAUUGCGAAGGCAGGUUACUACUUGUGGAUUGACGCUGAUGGACGAAAGCGUGGGGAGCGAACAGGAUUAGAAACCCGGGUAGUCC